Molecule: ribosomal RNA, 492 nt
Filed under: uncultured bacterium
Lineage: Bacteria
Description: partial 16S ribosomal RNA
Rfam family: Bacterial small subunit ribosomal RNA
Source: RNAcentral
AGUGAACGCUGGCGGUAGGCCUAACACAUGCAAGUCGAACGGCAGCACAUUAAGAGCUUGCUCUUGCGGGUGGCGAUUGGCGGUCGGGUGAGGAAUACAUCGGAAUCUCCUUUUUCGUGGGGGAUAACGUAGGGGAACUUACGCUAAUACCGCAUACGACCUCCGGUUGACAUCAGGGGCUCUUCGUACCUUGCUCGAUUGAAUGUGCCGAUGUGGGAUUAGCUAGUUGGGGGGGGAAAGGGCCACCAAGGCGACGAUCCGUAGCUGGUCUGAGAGGAUGAUCAGCCACACUGGAACUGAGACACGGUCCAGACUCCUACGGGAGGCAGCAGUGGGGAAUAUUGGACAAUGGGCGAAAGCCUGAUCCAGCAAUACCGCGUGGGUGAAGAAGGCCUUCGGGUUGUAAAGCCCCUUUGUUGGGAAAGAAAAGCAGCAGGUUAAUACCCCGCUGUUCUGACGGUACCCAAAGAAUAAGCACCGGCUAACUUCGUG